UCGAACGAAUAGGAUACGUACGCAAAUCCCAUCCUUGUUUUCGUACGAGCCAUUCGUUGUAUUUUCAAUUUACAGUCGUACUAGAUCAAGUUAUUGGUGUACUACAUUAUCGACAUUGUUGACAAUCAGGAGGUGUUUACGUAUCGAACGUGUUCAAUUUAUGAUACAGAGUUAUCUGAACGUUGUAGUUUAUUUUUGUAGUUUUGAUUUGUGCAGUUUAAUAUAAACGAGAUAUAAAGCAGAUAAACUUCCGCUACAGGAACAAGAUCCGGCUAUUCUACAUUGCAGAUUGCCGGCUAUCAUACUAUCGGGCAUGCAACUCAUGUGUCCGCCCUAUUCGCUAUACGACUAGUCAGCUGUUGGCAUUGAGAAAAUUCCUGCUCUGCAACCGCCGUCCGAUAGCAAUAGAUGACCCUAUUGUGUCAAAUUUCGCAGCAAAGUUCCGUCGCAAUUACAAGUUCAGCAACCGAAACAACUACAUAAGUGCAGAUGAACAACGACACCAAGAUACAGCAAACGAGGAAGAGCCAGAAUGGGUGUCGGCAGGACCUACCUUUCGCCUGGACACAAUUUGUAAAUUCGAUGGAGAUAUUUCAAACAACGCCUCACCAAUCGAUUAGUUGACAUGCUAGCACAAAAAGUUAACAGUAGCAUGAUUACUCAGCAACAAAUUCUCAGUGAAAAUCAACAGAAACAAUGAAAAACAACGUUGAGAAUGCAACUGAUCCACCACAAAUGCAACAACAGCAACAAUCAACCCAACAGCCGCGCUAUCCAUCCCAACGUGAGCUGCAGUUCCGUACCCAAUCCAUAAUUCAGAACGCUUUGCUCCGCAAAAAAACUGCAGGAUCAACGUAAGGCGCUUUGUGAUCAGAACGGUCGAAUUGUUGCCGCUGUCGCUGUGAUUAACAACGGCGAAUCAAAUGCAGCUGUGCAGCAAUUCGUACAAUAAAUUUGUCCAAACAUGCAGCGAAGUCUUUUGGUUCAUAGUCACACUGCUAACCGGCUGGUGACAAAUAUCCUAAUGAUACAUAUUUCUCUGCAAAGCCGACUGCAGGAGCCACUACCCUCCGUCACGCAAAAAUUGUGCCAACAGAAACGAGGUGGUCCCAUGAGCGUUAGAACUUCUUAGGAAGCAUCGAAUUCUACAGAUCAAUUCUUACAUGUUACGAGAGAACUGGAUUCUUACAAUGCAUUUAACAUUGCAGAAAUGGUUAUCUCUUGCAACAUUCAAAUUUAAUGUUGUUUUGUACUAUAUAUUACCGUUUUUCAUGAUCAUAUUUCAUAUAUUGUGGUUGUUCUUUUUCUUUUAUUACUAUUUAUAAUAACGUGCUUCGUUUCAUAAUUGUCAUAUUUUUUAGGCAAGCGAAAUUUUGAUACAAAUUCUCACUGCCUGAUUUAUGUUUUGCAAAAUUGUAUCGAUUGAUUUGUCGUUAGGUUCUCCCAUCAAGUUUAUUAGUAUAAGACGAUUGUAAAUUAUAGGAACGAAUGUUCGUUCUUUUCUCUUUGUUAUUUUUUUAGACUGCAAUCGCUAAAUAUUUUCUGGAAAAGCCGUUGUUUAACCUCACCACUAGCAAGCGUUCGCAUCUCAUAUAUUGCAUAAAAACUGUCUCAGUUAUUCUCAUGUGAAACUUUUACCCCUAGCUUUGCUCGAGUCUCGUAUCAAGUAAUCUAGAAACAGCGGCAGCCAAAGAGGAGAGCUGCAGCUGAUCGUUCUAAUGGGGUUCCUCUGUCUGUUAGGUCUGCUCAGUGAUGAAAGCCACGAUGGUGGAGCCAUAAUAGGUUCGCUUGGGGAGCAGGCACCCCGCUGCAGGAUCAGCACGAGCGAAAGAAGCAGUCGAAUAAGCAUUAUGAUCGCAUUCGGAAGAGUUCGAAAUCAACUAACCUAUUCGUUCAUUCGCAGGGCCAACAUUUCUCCAGAUGGUGAUUUGACACUUGGUAGUGUGAAGUCCGAUGGAAAGAUGUGAACGCUAGGAAAUAUCCAACCUGAUAGCACCAACACUAACAUCCCCCUACGCAUACCGCGUUACACCUGAAUAUUCUAUGUUUCAUAUUCAAAAAGUAAUAUAGUUUUGAUAAAACUCUUAAAUAGUUUUGAGAAAUACGCCGUGCAUGACUAUUCGAAUCAAUAUAACGAGAUGUUGUACGAACUUUGUA
Long non-coding RNA from Toxorhynchites rutilus septentrionalis, 2157 nucleotides. RefSeq lists it as uncharacterized. The record is from RefSeq and is a predicted model, not a curated record. The transcript has 3 exons. NCBI's taxonomy places the organism in Eukaryota, Metazoa, Arthropoda, Insecta, Diptera, Culicidae.